RNAcentral lists this ribosomal RNA (498 nucleotides) under uncultured bacterium. RNAcentral's name for it is "bacterial SSU rRNA". It matches the Rfam family "Bacterial small subunit ribosomal RNA", at positions 30 to 518 of the family's 1533-position model. The record is from RNAcentral.
AUUGAACGCUGGCGGCAUGCCUUACACAUGCAAGUCGAACGGCAGCACGGGCUUCGGUCUGGUGGCGAGUGGCGAACGGGUGAGUAAUGUAUCGGAACGUACCUUUCAGUGGGGGAUAACGUAGCGAAAGUUACGCUAAUACCGCAUAUUCUGUGAGCAGGAAAGCAGGGGAUCGCAAGACCUUGCGCUGAUUGAGCGGCCGAUAUCAGAUUAGCUAGUUGGUGGGUAAAGGCCUACCAAGGCUACGAUCUGUAGCGGGUCUGAGAGGAUGAUCCGCCACACUGGAACUGAGACACGGUCCAGACUCCUACGGGAGGCAGCAGUGGGGAAUUUUGGACAAUGGGCGCAAGCCUGAUCCAGCCAUGCCGCGUGUGUGAAGAAGGCCUUCGGGUUGUAAGCACUUUUGUUGGGUAAGGAAACCGGUCGGAGUUAAUAACUUCGGCUGAAUGACGGUACCCAAAGAAUAAGCACCGGCUAACUUACGUGCCAGCAGCCGAC